This 402-nucleotide ribosomal RNA is filed under the name uncultured bacterium. Its description in RNAcentral is "bacterial SSU rRNA". It matches the Rfam family "Archaeal small subunit ribosomal RNA", at positions 339 to 743 of the family's 1478-position model. The record is from RNAcentral.
GCGCGAAAACUUUACAAUGCAGGCAACUGUGAUAAGGGAACCCCGAGUGCCCGUAUGGACGGGCUGUUCAGGUGCUUAAAAACCACCUGGAGAAAGGGCCGGGCAAGACCGGUGCCAGCCGCCGCGGUAAUACCGGCGGCUCGAGUGGUGGCCACUAUUACUGGGCUUAAAGCGUCCGUAGCUUGGUCGUUAAGCCUCUGGGGAAAUCUUCCGGCUCAACCGGAAGGCGUCUCAGGGGAACCUGGCGACCUAGGGAUCGGGAGAGGUGAGAGGUACUCUGGGGUAGGAGUGAAAUCCUGUAAUCCUCAGGGGACCACCUGUGGCGAAGGCGUCUCACCAGAACCGACUCCGACAGUGAGGGACGAAAGCUGGGGGAGCAAACCGGAUUAGAAACCCCGUGUA